This 208-nucleotide ribosomal RNA is filed under the name uncultured bacterium. RNAcentral's name for it is "partial 16S ribosomal RNA". It matches the Rfam family "Bacterial small subunit ribosomal RNA", at positions 568 to 774 of the family's 1533-position model. The record is from RNAcentral.
UGCGCAGGCGGAAAGAUAAGUCAGUGGUGAAAUCCUGCAGCUUAACUGUAGAAUUGCCGUUGAUACUGUUUUUUCUUGAGUGUGGUCAAGGAAGGCGGAAUGUGUAAUGUAGCGGUGAAAUGCUUAGAUAUUACACAGAACACCAAUUGCGAAGGCAGCUUUCUGGGCCGUAACUGACGCUCAUGCACGAAAGCGUGGGGAUCGAACA